This 401-nucleotide unclassified non-coding RNA is filed under the name soil metagenome. RNAcentral's name for it is "partial contains 5.8S ribosomal RNA, internal transcribed spacer 2, and large subunit ribosomal RNA". The stretch from base 1 to 121 matches the Rfam family "5.8S ribosomal RNA", at positions 35 to 154 of the family's 154-position model. The record is from RNAcentral.
GAUGAAGAACGUAGCGAAAUGCGAUAAGUAAUGUGAAUUGCAGAAUUCAGUGAAUCAUCGAAUCUUUGAACGCACCUUGCACCCUUUGGCUAUUCCGAAGGGUAUGCCUGUUUGAGUAUCAUGAACACCUCAACUCUCAUGGUUUGCCAUGAUGAGCUUGGACUUUGGGGGUCUUGCUGGCCUGUGGUCAGCUCCUCUCAAAUGGAUUAGCUUGCCAGUGUUUGGUGGCAUCACAGGUGUGAUAACUAUCUACGCUUGUGGUUUUCCACCAGGUAACCUUCAGCAAUGGGGGUUCGCUGGGGCUCAUAAAUGUCUCUCCUCAGUGAGGACAGCUCUUUGAACGUUUGAUCUCAAAUCAGGUAGGACUACCCGCUGAACUUAAGCAUAUCAAUAACGGAGGA